RNAcentral lists this long non-coding RNA (224 nucleotides) under Carica papaya (papaya). Its description in RNAcentral is "long non-coding RNA (CPAP_LNC016229)". The record is from RNAcentral. Lineage: Eukaryota; Viridiplantae; Streptophyta; Magnoliopsida; Brassicales; Caricaceae.
CAUGCCCAUAUUCAACAUUUAUUUCAAAGAUAAGGAAAUACACAUGUAUGUACGCCCAUUUGUAAAUUCAUAUGGCGCUAUACCUUACUCUGUUUUCCAGAUUUCCAUUUUAAAUCUUCCUCAUGCAAUUUAAAUGAAUAAACAUGCACUUUAAACUCAAAUUUGAAUUCAAAAAGGCUGAAAUGAUCCUACCUCUUGCUCCCAACAACAAUGUUGAUCUGGUU